CCUUCCUGGAGGUGUCAGUGUUCAGGAGUGCAUGCAGGCAGGAGGGUGGCAGGAGGGGACCGGGUCGGAUCAAAUGGAGGGUAGGAGGUCAGAUGGACAAGUUAAGUGGAGGUGGAGGUCGUGUGUGUGUGGGGAGGUAGGGAGAGUUACGGCUAUCUUGGGCCCCUCACGUUCCCUCGCAAGUCUGACUGUUUGUCUGCCUGUCAAUAUCGUGCGUUGUUGCUGUCUUGACUGUGUCAAGCGCUGACGCUGACUGCGGCUGUGCGGGCCAUCCGGGCGUGCGGACUUCUCCUCCAUCUCGUCAUGCCGUGUCGAUUUGUGGACCCAAAAACGCAUGCGGUUUCGGGACUUAUGGAGCCAACAUAAGUGUAUGUAGCAUGCUCUAGGCGGCGCGUGCAAUUGCGGGUUCGCUUUCUUGGCCGUCCUUCAAAUGUGCACGCUCUUGUGAUUGGCCUGCACGGAAACGUGGUAGCCGUAGGCACACACCCGUACACACUCUUUUUAGGUAGACUUGUGAAAAAUCCGGCAAGAGCGUGCAGCAUUCGCCCUCCACCUUCCGUACUUUCCCAUGUGCAGUCUUUACCAUUCGCGCUGUCGUGCCCAGAUCGAUGACUUUGCCUUUCUCGGCACUGACGCGACUAGCUCCGUG
Molecule: long non-coding RNA, 649 nt
Filed under: Volvox carteri
Lineage: Eukaryota; Viridiplantae; Chlorophyta; Chlorophyceae; Chlamydomonadales; Volvocaceae
Description: long non-coding RNA (VCAR_LNC004315)
Source: RNAcentral